Long non-coding RNA from Pristis pectinata (smalltooth sawfish), 296 nucleotides. RefSeq lists it as uncharacterized. The transcript is spliced from 3 exons. The record is from RefSeq and is a predicted model, not a curated record. Lineage: Eukaryota; Metazoa; Chordata; Chondrichthyes; Rhinopristiformes; Pristidae.
GUGUGCUUGGGGCUCAGGAUGGUGGAGCGGGUCCUCAGCUGUUCGUUCUGCUUCUCGAGUUUGCGAACCAACUCCUGCAGCUUCCGUACUUCCAGGGUUUCGGAUCUUACAAGCCACAGCCUCAUGCUACCCAAAGUGGAUGCGUGAACAUCUAUCAGUUGGAGCUUGCCGCCUGCAGUUUGGAAACUCCCAGAGACAGAGCACUGAUCAUUACAUCACAUCAGUUCGUUGAGGUAGUACAAGGGAAAAGAAAUAACAGAAUGCCGAAUAUACUGUUACAAUUACAGAGAAAGUGC